This 870-nucleotide long non-coding RNA is filed under the name Ursus maritimus (polar bear). Its description in RNAcentral is "lncRNA (ENSUMAG00000020798.1)". The record is from RNAcentral. Lineage: Eukaryota; Metazoa; Chordata; Mammalia; Carnivora; Ursidae.
AGAGAGUGAGCGAGAGAGAGAGCAGAGCAGGGGCAGGGGGAGAGGGAGAAGCAGACCCCCGCUCAACAGGGAGCCCAGUGCAGGGCUUAAUCCCAGGACCCCGGGAUCAUGACCUGAGCCAAAUGGCAGACACUUAACCAACUGAGCCUCCCAGGUGCCCCAACAGGAUGUAAAUCUUUAGAUUAACAAUAUAAAAUAGUAAUGUAACAAGGCUCAAAUUUCAAAAGGGCAUUAUGAGAAUCUAAGCUCAACUUUUACCUAAAGAAUUAUUAAUUCCAUAAAUAUUUGUGAUAUGCUUGCCUACUGUAUACCAGGCAUUAUGCCAGUGAUUAAAAAAAAAAGAAAGAAAGAAAGAAAGAAAGAAAAGAAAAGAAAAGAAAGCCCAAAGAAGCAGUACUGAAAAGGACAUGGUGCUCAAGGAGCUUACCUUGGGAACAAUAAGACAUGUGGAAGCAAAUGGAGUCAUUCUAAUUCGACAAGUUUCGUUGCCCCCAUCUGAAUGGGAGAGGAAAGGAAUCCAGUUUCAGUGGUUUCUGGGCCUUCCCGCACCUCUCCAAGUUUUCACAGGAUCCGGAAACUUUAUGUGGCCCCAGGACGCAAGGAGUGACCCUCUACUCUCCCAUGCAUCAUGGUCACUGUAAGUCCCCUGAUCCAUGGCUCUUGGCUUCUGUUCUGUGCCUGGCAAGAGGCCUAUGCCUCUUCUUCCCUCUUCUCUUUAUUCUAUCUUCAAACUGAAAUCUGCCCGCAGUCAUGAUUGCCAUGAGCAGAAAGCUACCUGGCUUACUCUGUUAAUCAUAUGAGCCAUCUUUCCACUGGUUUUGAAGUUCUCGUUGUUACUGAGGAAGCAGUCAAUAGACAAUAAUUUUCCCU